CUUCCUAGAUUCUUCUCCAACUUCCAAGUUUCAACUUAAUUUUGCUGCAACAACAAACAAGAUUCCCCUUAUCCACUCAAUUUUCGCUGUAGAUCAUCACAUUCCCCUUUCUCCACGCUUUUCAAUGGCCUCCAAGUUCGGUUUGGCCGGUGGGUUGCCGGAGCGGCGUGUCCGUCCCAUAUGGGACGCUAUAGAUUCAAGGCAGUUCAAGAACGCUCUCAAAGCUGUAAAAACUCUUCUUUCUAAGUAUCUGAAUGCGCCUUACGCUCUGGUAACAAAAUACAACCCUUCCUUUUCUGUACCUGAUUCUGAAUCCCUUUGGUUUCAACUUCUUUGUAUCUUAAUGGUUAUUUCUUGCUUUCUUGUUUCACAUUUCUCGAUAGCUUUAAGCGUAUUCAGCGGUUUUAUCCUUUCUUUUUUGUUUCAAAAUACGUACGUUAGAUUACGUCUACGGCUUAGGAAGCUACUUAAUGUUACUCACGAUUUUCUUUACUAAGUCAAGUCUCUCUUCUCUUCUCAAUCUUGCGUCACCCUCAAACCCUAGAUCCAUUCACCUACAACUGCUGCAAGAAAUCCCUCAGAAUCAAUUUCACUCCUCAACCUCUUCCAUGCUCUUCAGAUCUCCUCACCGAGAAAGAGAAUUUUACAGAAAAAGAAAAAGAAAAAGAAAAUGUAUCGAUCAGUGAGUUGGAACUGAUUCUCCAACGAAUAUUACUCUCAUUCAGCCCCGUCCUCCAAGCCAGGGCAGUCAUGCGACUAUCUUCGUCGUUUGAUCUAGGGAAUAAUGAACUUCCAAUGAACGAUUCGAUGGCGGAAAUGGUGAAGCGAGAGAAAGCGCGAGUGAAGUUUGCGUAUCCUGCUGUUCAUGUGAUUCCAUUCGUUUUGCUAAUCUAUGCCAUUAUUAUUAUGUGGUUCUUCUCCAUUUCAGGUAGGAAAUUGGUUCAGUGCCUUGCUGGCUUAAGAAGUAAUUAACUAUUGUUGUGAAAUGUAGUGGAGGCCUUUGGUUGUGUUUUCAGCAUUAUGUACUGAUAGCCCUCUUUCUGUGGUUCCAUGUAUUAUACUUUCACUAGACUUGUUCUGUAUCAUCUUGGAUUUCUAAUGGUAAUGCAAUAAAUAGCCUUUUGCUCUUCAAUCUUA
Long non-coding RNA from Cucumis sativus (cucumber), 1137 nucleotides. RefSeq lists it as uncharacterized. NCBI's taxonomy places the organism in Eukaryota, Viridiplantae, Streptophyta, Magnoliopsida, Cucurbitales, Cucurbitaceae. The record is from RefSeq and is a predicted model, not a curated record. The transcript has 2 exons.